GCAAGUCGAGCGCACCCUUCGGGGCGAGCGGCGGACGGGUUAGUAACGCGUGGGAACAUACCCUUUUCUACGGAAUAGCCUCGGGAAACUGAGAGUAAUACCGUAUACGCCCUUCGGGGGAAAGAUUUAUCGGUGAAGGAUUGGCCCGCGUUAGAUUAGAUAGUUGGUGGGGUAAUGGCCUACCAAGUCUACGAUCUAUAGCUGGUUUGAGAGGAUGAUC
This 220-nucleotide ribosomal RNA is filed under the name uncultured bacterium. Its description in RNAcentral is "partial 16S ribosomal RNA". It matches the Rfam family "Bacterial small subunit ribosomal RNA", at positions 57 to 305 of the family's 1533-position model. The record is from RNAcentral.